Molecule: long non-coding RNA, 598 nt
Organism: Hemicordylus capensis (graceful crag lizard)
Lineage: Eukaryota; Metazoa; Chordata; Lepidosauria; Squamata; Cordylidae
Exons: 2
Source: RefSeq, a predicted model, not a curated record
CUAACUAUCUAAUGACCUAGUGGUCAUUCGGGUGACUGGUGCAAAAGGUUGAUGCCAUCUGGAGCUGGAUCUCCAACAGAUGCAAGGUGCAGUCCCUGGCCUCUCUAGGUGCAGCAGAGAUAUGGAAGGAGGAGGGGGAAGGAGCAAACAUGAAAGGGUGGUGACACAUUGCAUUCUAGGUGUCAUGGUAGAGGCCUCCCCAUCUCUUCAGCUAUAUUAAUUCUGUCCAAGGAAGUACAUACAUGGAAAGGAGGCUAGGUAGUCUGCAGUGGCAAUAUCACUGUCAGCAUACCUCAGUGUAUGCUCAAGAAGAAUGUCUUUCUAAACUGAUGCUAAUUUUUCAAAAUCAAAUUACACUUCAUGCCCAUUUUUGCUAAUUGGAUACCUACCAUUUAUCACCACACCAUCUCUGGAAUUCAUCAAGCGGCCAGACUCACCUGUUCAUCUUCAUUACCGGAAUCGGAAACAUUCUCCAGACUCCUGAUACUGCAGGCUAGACUUCAACUGUCAAAUCUUCUAGAUUAACUCAAGUUUUUUCUAAAUAUUGGUUUUAUGAUAUCUUCUGUCAUAAUGCAACUGGCUUGUUCAUUACUCUCUA